Molecule: ribosomal RNA, 406 nt
Filed under: uncultured bacterium
Lineage: Bacteria
Description: partial 16S ribosomal RNA
Rfam family: Bacterial small subunit ribosomal RNA
Source: RNAcentral
AUUGAACGCUGGCGGCAGGCCUAACACAUGCAAGUCGAACGAGCGGCGGACGGGUGAGUAAUGUCUGGGGAACUGCCUGAUGGAGGGGGAUAACUACUGGAAACGGUAGCUAAUACCGCAUACCAUCGGAUGUGCCCAGAUGGGAUUAGCUCGUAGGUGGGGUAAAGGCUCACCUAGGCGACGAUCCCUAGCUGGUCUGGGAGGAUGAUCAGCCACACUGGAACUGAGACACUGCCCAGACUCCUACGGGAGGCAGCAGUGGGGAAUAUUGCACAAUGGGCGCAAGCCUGAUGCAGCCAUGCCGCGUGUAUGAAGAAGGCCUUAGGGUUGUAAAGUACUUUCAGCGGGGAGGCGUUACCCGCAGAAGAAGCACCGGCUAACUCCGUGCCAGCAGCCGCGGUAAUAC